RNAcentral lists this non-coding RNA (184 nucleotides) under Candidatus Limadaptatus stercorigallinarum. RNAcentral's name for it is "6S RNA". It matches the Rfam family "6S / SsrS RNA". From Rfam's summary of the family: E. coli 6S RNA was the first non coding RNA to be sequenced, but its function was unknown until recently. It consists of 184 nucleotides that fold into an extended hairpin structure with a large single-stranded internal bulge. Lineage: Bacteria; Bacillati; Bacillota; Clostridia; Eubacteriales. The record is from RNAcentral. RNAcentral also lists the same sequence under 1 other name.
AAAUUCCUGCUAUGCUCGUGAUGGUGUUCUAUUUUGAACCACAACAUUUUAUACGGGAUAGCGCGUCCGUCUUGCGGAUGUCAGGCCCCCUCGUCUAGGGGAAGGCAGAAGCAAGCGGCAGCUGUUGACCCACCCUGCACAUGCAGGUUUAUAAAAUGACACCACACGGCAUCGUGGGAGUUUC